GCGCCCGUAGCUCAACCGGAUAGAGCACCUGCCUUCUAAAGAAUGUUGUGGGUUCGAGUCCCGCCGGGCGCGCCA
This 75-nucleotide transfer RNA is filed under the name Alphaproteobacteria bacterium. RNAcentral's name for it is "tRNA-OTHER". It matches the Rfam family "tRNA". From Rfam's summary of the family: Transfer RNA (tRNA) molecules are approximately 80 nucleotides in length. Their secondary structure includes four short double-helical elements and three loops (D, anti-codon, and T loops). The record is from RNAcentral. Lineage: Bacteria; Pseudomonadati; Pseudomonadota; Alphaproteobacteria.